This 1989-nucleotide long non-coding RNA is filed under the name Salmo salar (Atlantic salmon). Its description in RNAcentral is "lncRNA (ENSSSAG00000082783.1)". Lineage: Eukaryota; Metazoa; Chordata; Actinopteri; Salmoniformes; Salmonidae. The record is from RNAcentral.
GUCAUUGUCUGCUUCCAACUCUCAAACAUGUAGAUCCCCUGAACGCAGCUCACUUUCCAGAUCACCUGAAUUCCGAUCACCUGUUCACAGACCUACCUGUAUGUCAUUGUCUGCUUCCAACUCUCAAACGUGUAGAUCCCCUGAACGCAGCUCACUUUCCAGAUCACCUGAAUUCUGAUCACCUGUUCACACACCUGUAUGUCAUUAUCACACACUAUUUAGUUCAGUUCUUUGCACCCCAUCAUUGUGAGGUAUUGUUUGUUGUGUGACACGUCUAUUCGGAGCUCUGGUUUUCCCGUAAUCUAAAGCCUCCCGAGUACGAUAGUGAAGCAGGCUAAAACUAACGACGCCUUUUGCCUAGUCCCUGCCUGUACUUUCGGAUUUCCUGUUAGCAACCUGUUGCCUGAUCUCCCAGACGAUGUUACUAGCCUUUUCCCUGCCUGAACUGUUGCCUUUUUGGACCCCCUGUGUAUGACCUUCUGCCUGCCCCUGGACCCAGCUAUCUGCCGCCUCCUGUGGUCCUUUACAAAAACACCUGCUGCGCCCUGCGCUUGAAACCAGCUCUCUCCCAUCCUGUUCAUUACAGCAUCACUGGAUCAUGGAAGCUGCGUUGCAGCCCGUGCGCCGGUUGAGGGUGGCCGCUCCACCAUGUGAAGCUUCGUUGCAGCCCGGCCGCCCUCCACCCAGGGUUAAAGUGCAUGAGGCUCCCAAAUCAGCAGGUGCCAGGAGUGAGAGGGAAUGUUUGGCCACAGGUGUCGAGGGUCCGUCUGCGUCCGUGUGCCGGUUCCCAAUCAUCGCAGACCCAAAGAUGCCAUGAGUGAGGGAAUGUUUGGCCACAGGGGUUGAGGGUCUGUCCACAUCUACAGUUCGUGUGUUGACCACCUCAGUCCUGCAAACCCAGAAAGUGUUCAACGCAUUGGUUGGGCAGAUUGUGACUGAACUCGGAAGAAUACACAGGGUUUUGCUACAUUUACAUUGUUUUAUGUUUUCCACUACGUGAAUAAAAAAAAACCUAUGCUUUGUAUAUUGUCUGGCAUUGUUUCUUACCACAAAUCUCUGUAUGAGCUGCCACCACCUCACUGCAUCAGCUGGGACAGGUGCUCCAUUGGGUGGUGGGUUAUGAGGCUCUUAGGUGUCCCUUCUAAUCUCCAUGCCUUAGGGCUAUGUUGUGGCUCACACCACAUGCCAGUAUUAUGCGUGUCACCUUUGACUGGGGAGUAAAACCGUUAAUAAAACAGGCCAACAUUUUAUAUUUAGGUUUGAAAUUGCACACCCCAAUGUUCUUGUCGAACAAACUUACACUACAGUUACUGAGCUGUCCCCCUAAUCUGUUAACAUUUCAUUGCAAUGUUAGUGGAAAUGAUAGGAAUCAGCUGAUUCCAUUCGAUUACACUAGCAUUGCUACAAAAAUGAACAAGCUUCAAGGGGACAUCUCAGUAACUGUAGGGCCAGAUUAAAAACUAUUUGGCCAGAACCUUGGUGUGCAAUUUCAAUAAUGUUAUGUUGCAAGUUGACUAAUUUUAAGUUUUCAAUUUUUAUUAAAUAAAGUUACCUUCUGGCUUGUAGAGGAGUUUUCCACCUGAUGCAUCAAGGCAACGCCACCUGCCAUUCAGCAGUCCGAUGGUGCGCACCACAACCAACCUUGUUCUGCUGUGUGCCAAAUUGUGAGGUUUACUCUGCUGCGGCGCAGAAUGAACAAGUCGUGCGUAGACCCUGGCCACUUGGAGCAUGCAUUGAGUAGUUGCACACGGGCAUCACAGAUCUGAACACUUAACAUACUGUUCAAAAGUUUGGGGUCAAUUAAAUGUUUUUGAAAGAGAAGCAUAUUUUUAUCAAAUUGAUCAGAUAGUGUAGACAUUUAAUGUUGGAAAUGACUUGUUGGAAACAGAUUUUUUUUAAUGGAAUAUCUACAUAGGCCCUUUUAUCAGCAACCAUCUCUCCUGUGUUCCAAUGGCAUGUGUUAGCUAAUCCAAGUUUAUAAUUUUAAAA